Molecule: ribosomal RNA, 199 nt
Filed under: uncultured Leptolinea sp.
Lineage: Bacteria; Bacillati; Chloroflexota; Anaerolineae; Anaerolineales; Anaerolineaceae
Description: partial 16S ribosomal RNA
Rfam family: Bacterial small subunit ribosomal RNA
Source: RNAcentral
GUCAAGUCAGCAUGGCCUUUAUGUCCUGGGCUACACACACGCUACAAUGGCCAACACAAUAGGUUGCUAAGCCGCGAGGUGGAGCCAAUCCUCAAAGUUGGUCUCAGUUCAGAUUGCAGGCUGCAACCCGCCUGCAUGAAGAUGGAGUUGCUAGUAACCGCAGGCCAGCUAUACUGCGGUGAACACGUUCCCGGGGCUU